UCUUAUUUUCCCUCUGUCCUGAAUCCCGAAAUCCUCAGGGCCCUCCUCCGCCAGUCGGGCCACUUGUUUGACAGCAAGCCGCAGUCGCCGGUCCUGCAGCCGGGGCAGGGUGGUGGCGUCAAUCUCAGUCUAAACCUGGUGGCUUCGGGGUCGGCCUCAGCCACGCCCACCCCGAGCCAUUCCGCGAAGCGGCGCUCCACCGUCGGUGGAGCCGGUAAGCUGGCUUUCCAAUGGCAUCAUGCAGCAGCUCUAGCUCUAGCUCUCUCUCCUAUCUCACCUCACUGCGGUCCCCCAGCUCCCGGUCAUCCAUCACUAGCGCGCCCUAUCCUUCCGUGUUCAUCGCUGCUCUGUCCAUACCGGUGCAGGGUCCGGCACUCCCAGCGGAAAGCUGCAGGAUAUGUGGCUCAUGUGGGCCAACUUUGGCACAGGUAAUAACAGCAACAACAGCAGCUACAACAGCAACCUCAGCACCCCCCCGGUCCACACGCACUCGCCGGCUUCCCUUUACCACCUGCCGCCGCCGGCGCCACGCCCUGAGAUGGGUGUAGCUCAAUUCAUCAAGCUGGUCCGGGAGACGGGCCUGCUGGACAAGCAUUUCACGGCGGUGCAGGCGGAGCUAAUCUUUGUGCGCGCCAAGCCCAAGGUAGGUGGGGUGAGUGAGUGGGGGGAUGGUGACUGACUGGGUCGGGGGUCGGGGAGCGGAUGGCAGUGUAGUUGGGUGCUGUGGUGAUGGGUUAAGGUGCGCGGCUGGGCUUGGUGGGUUGGUGGCUGGAGAGGGGAGGGGAGGAGAGGAGUAGAGCGGGUUGCAGAACUGGGGCGAUUUCGCCACGGUAAGGAGCCCAGGUAUGGACUGUUAUCCAAAGGAUUCUACCAGCGGAGGAUGACGACUCUAUCCCUGGGUUUACUAAGAGGAGGCAAGAAGUAUCGCCCUGACCCUGAAUUUCUCCAGGUCGUGAACGCACAACCCUGAUAUUCCAUCUGAAGCCUUAUCUUCACCUACAUCCCUUAACAGGACUCGGCCAAGCUAAACUU
RNAcentral lists this long non-coding RNA (1032 nucleotides) under Volvox carteri. RNAcentral's name for it is "long non-coding RNA (VCAR_LNC000772)". Lineage: Eukaryota; Viridiplantae; Chlorophyta; Chlorophyceae; Chlamydomonadales; Volvocaceae. The record is from RNAcentral.